CCGUUGCCGGCGACCGGCGCACGGGUGAGUAACACGUAUGCAACCUGCCCGUGGCAGGGGGAUAAGCGGGGGAAACCCCGUCUAAUACCGCGUAACGCGGCCUAGGGACAUCCCAAGGCCGCCAAAGGGAGCAAUCCCGGCCACGGGAUGGGCAUGCGGCGCAUUAGCUAGUCGGCGGGGUAACGGCCCACCGAGGCGACGAUGCGUAGGGGUCCUGAGAGGAACGGCCCCCCACACUGGUACUGAGACACGGACCAGACUCCUACGGAAGGCAGCAG
This 278-nucleotide ribosomal RNA is filed under the name uncultured bacterium. RNAcentral's name for it is "partial 16S ribosomal RNA". It matches the Rfam family "Bacterial small subunit ribosomal RNA", at positions 82 to 354 of the family's 1533-position model. The record is from RNAcentral.